This 565-nucleotide ribosomal RNA is filed under the name uncultured archaeon. RNAcentral's name for it is "bacterial SSU rRNA". It matches the Rfam family "Archaeal small subunit ribosomal RNA", at positions 313 to 879 of the family's 1478-position model. The record is from RNAcentral.
GCAAUUCGCCCUUGGGGCGCAGCAGGCGCGAAAACUUUACAAUGCUGGAAACAGCGAUAAGGGGACCUCGAGUGCCAGGUUACAAAUCUGGCUGUCGUGAUGCCUAAAAAGCAUUGCAUAGCAAGGGCCGGGCAAGACCGGUGCCAGCCGCCGCGGUAACACCGGCGGCUCGAGUGGUAACCGUUAUUAUUGGGUCUAAAGGGUCUGUAGCCGGCCAGAUAAGUCUCUUGGGAAAUCCAGCAGCUCAACUGUUGGGCUUUCAGGAGAUACUGUCUGGCUCGAGGCCGGGAGAGGUGAGAGGUACUUCAGGGGUAGGGGUGAAAUCUUGUAAUCCUUGAAGGACCACCAGUGGCGAAGGCGUCUCACCAGAACGGACCUGACGGCAAGGGACGAAAGCUAGGGGCACGAACCGGAUUAGAUACCCGGGUAGUCCUAGCCGUAAACGAUACUCGCUAGGUGUCGGCCACGGUGCGACCGUUGUCGGUGCCGUAGGGAAGCCGUGAAGCGAGCCACCUGGGAAGUACGGCCGCAAGGCUGAAACUUAAAGGAAUUGGCGGGGGAGCAC